AACGAACGCUGGCGGCAUGCCUAACACAUGCAAGUCGAACGAGACCUUCGGGUCUAGUGGCGCACGGGUGCGUAACGCGUGGGAACCUGCCCUUAGGUUCGGAAUAACUCCCCGAAAGGGGUGCUAAUACCGGAUAAUGUCUUCGGACCAAAGAUUUAUCGCCUUUGGAUGGGCCCGCGUUGGAUUAGCUAGUUGGUAGGGUAAAAGCCUACCAAGGCGACGAUCCAUAGCUGGUCUGAGAGGAUGAUCAGCCACACUGGGACUGAGACACGGCCCAGACUCCUACGGGAGGCAGCAGUGGGGAAUAUUGGACAGUGGGCGAAAUCCUGAUCCAGCAAUGCCGCGUGAGUGAUGAAGGCCUUAGGGUUGUAAAGCUCUUUUACCCGGGAUGAUAAUGACAGUACCGGGAGAAUAAGCUCCGGCUAACUCCGUG
This 433-nucleotide ribosomal RNA is filed under the name uncultured bacterium. RNAcentral's name for it is "partial 16S ribosomal RNA". It matches the Rfam family "Bacterial small subunit ribosomal RNA", at positions 29 to 507 of the family's 1533-position model. The record is from RNAcentral.